GACGAACGCUGGCGGCGUGCUUAACACAUGCAAGUCGAACGGAAAGGCCCUGCUUUUGUGGGGUGCUCGAGUGGCGAACGGGUGAGUAACACGUGAGUAACCUGCCCUUGACUUUGGGAUAACUUCAGGAAACUGGGGCUAAUACCGGAUAGGAGCUCCUGCUGCAUGGUGGGGGUUGGAAAGUUUCGGCGGUUGGGGAUGGACUCGCGGCUUAUCAGCUUGUUGGUGGGGUAGUGGCUUACCAAGGCUUUGACGGGUAGCCGGCCUGAGAGGGUGACCGGCCACAUUGGGACUGCGAUACGGCGCAGACUCCUACGGUAGGCAGCAGUGGGGAAUAUUGCACAAUGGGCGGAAGCCUGAUGCAGCAGCGCCGCGUGCGGGAUGACGGCCUUCGGGUUGUAAACCGCUUCCGCCUGUGACGAAGCGUGAGUGACGGUAAUGGGUAAAGAAGCACCGGCUAACUACGUG
This 468-nucleotide ribosomal RNA is filed under the name uncultured bacterium. RNAcentral describes it as "partial 16S ribosomal RNA". It matches the Rfam family "Bacterial small subunit ribosomal RNA", at positions 28 to 507 of the family's 1533-position model. The record is from RNAcentral.